GACGUAGGUGGCGAACGUUAUCCGGAAUUAUUGGGCGUAAAGGGUGCGUAGGCGGCAUGAUAAGUUAUUGGCGGCAAAUCGAGGCUCAACCUCGUGGAAACUAAUAAUACUGUCUUGCUUGAGUGCAGAAGAGGUUAACGGAACUCCAUGUGGAGCGGUAAAAUGUGUAGAUAUAUGGAAGAACAUCAAUAACGGCGAAGGCAGUUAACUGUUCUGUUACUGACGUUGAGGCACGAAAGCGUGGGGAGCAAAAAGG
RNAcentral lists this ribosomal RNA (256 nucleotides) under uncultured bacterium. Its description in RNAcentral is "partial 16S ribosomal RNA". It matches the Rfam family "Bacterial small subunit ribosomal RNA", at positions 524 to 776 of the family's 1533-position model. The record is from RNAcentral.